GCGGAAUGCUUUACACAUGCAAGUCGAACGGUAGAGGGGGCAACCCCUCGAGAGUGGCGAACGGGUGAGUAAUGUAUCGGAACGUGCCCAGUCGUGGGGGAUAACGUAGCGAAAGUUACGCUAAUACCGCAUACGAUCUACGGAUGAAAGCGGGGGAUCGCAAGACCUCGCGCGAUUGGAGCGGCCGAUAUCAGAUUAGGUAGUUGGUGGGGUAAAGGCUCACCAAGCCAACGAUCUGUAGCUGGUCUGAGAGGACGACCAGCCACACUGGAACUGAGACACGGUCCAGACUNNUACGGGAGGCAGCAGUGGGGAAUUUUGGACAAUGGACGCAAGUCUGAUCCAGCCAUUCCGCGUGCAGGAUGAAGGCCCUCGGGUUGUAAACUGCUUUUGUACGGAACGAAAAGGUUUCUAUUAAUACUAGGAGCUCAUGACGGUACCGUAAGAAUAAGCACCGGCUAACUACGUGCCAGCAGCCGCGGUAAUACGUAGGGUGCAAGCGUUAAUCGGAAUUACUGGGCGUAAAGCGUGCGCAGGCGGUUUAUAUAAGACAGAUGUGAAAUCCCCGGGCUCAACCUGGGAACUGCAUUUUGUGACUGU
This 600-nucleotide ribosomal RNA is filed under the name uncultured beta proteobacterium. RNAcentral describes it as "bacterial SSU rRNA". It matches the Rfam family "Bacterial small subunit ribosomal RNA", at positions 39 to 636 of the family's 1533-position model. Lineage: Bacteria; Pseudomonadati; Pseudomonadota; Betaproteobacteria. The record is from RNAcentral.